RNAcentral lists this ribosomal RNA (808 nucleotides) under uncultured archaeon. RNAcentral's name for it is "bacterial SSU rRNA". It matches the Rfam family "Archaeal small subunit ribosomal RNA", at positions 85 to 876 of the family's 1478-position model. The record is from RNAcentral.
ACGGCUCAGUAACACGUGGCUAACCCACCCUUGAGACGGAGAAAACCCCGGGAAACUGGGGUUAAUCUCCGAUAAGAGAAGACACCUGGAAUGGGUCUCCUCUCAAAGGGCGCCUAGACCAUGCUUCUAGGCGUUGCUCAAGGACGAGGCCGCGGCCGAUCAGGUUGUUGGUGAGGCAACGGCUCACCAAGCCUAUAACCGGUACGGGCCGUGAGAGCGGGAGCCCGGAGAUGGGCACUGAGAUAAGGGCCCAGGCCCUACGGGGCGCAGCAGUUGCGAAAACUCCGCAAUGCACGAAAGUGUGACGGGGCUACCCCGAGUGCCGUCCGCUGAGGACGGCUUUUCCCCGGUGUAAGGAGCCGGGGGAAUAAGGAGAGGGCAAGUCUGGUGUCAGCCGCCGCGGUAAUACCAGCUCUCCGAGUGGUAGGGAUGAUUAUUGGGCUUAAAGCGUCCGUAGCCGGCCCGGCAAGUCUUCCGUUAAAUCCAACGAUUCAAUCGUUGGACUGCAGGAGAUACUGUUGGGCUAGGAGGCGGGAGAGGCCGACGGUAUUCUCGGGGUAGGGGUAAAAUCCUAUAAUCCCGGGAGGACCACCAGUGGCGAAGGCGGUCGGCUAGAACGCGCUCGACGGUGAGGGACGAAAGCUGGGGGAGCGAACCGGAUUAGAUACCCGGGUAGUCCCAGCUGUAAACGAUGCGGGCUAGGUGUUGGGGCGGCUACGGGCCGCUUCAGUGCCGCAGGGAAACCAUUAAGCCCGCCGCCUGGGGAGUACGGCCGCAAGGCUGAAACUUAAAGGAAUUGGCGGGGGAG